Molecule: unclassified non-coding RNA, 3391 nt
Filed under: Leishmania donovani
Lineage: Eukaryota; Euglenozoa; Kinetoplastea; Trypanosomatida; Trypanosomatidae
Description: gene:LdHU3.25.1400(CDS-product:hypothetical_prote in_conserved)
Source: RNAcentral
CGCCGGCACUGGGGCUGGGCAGACCACACCUCCCGCAGUGCCGUUUUCCUCAUACCACGAAGCGUCACCCCCAACUUUGGUGCCUACCUCCAAUCAGAGCCUGGAAGCAGCAAGCUCAUCAGCCUUUUCUCACGCUGUGCGGACCCACGCCGCCCCCUCUUCUCAUUCACACGCACCGCGCACGGGUAUCGUCGACAGCAGCGGCUACCGCUACUCGACUCGAACAAAGGUGCCACAGCUGUUGCCACCAUCGCCACCUGCACCACCUCAGCAACCCCUGCAGCGGCGCUCGCCUUACGUGAACCACCAACGCACUUCCAACGUCACGGAGGCGGCGCCCACCACCACGACAGCGAUGCCGCUGCUGCCAGCGCCGCUGGACACCGCCUCUGCCUCUUCAUCUACGUCCCAGCAGGCUGCAACCCGCGCAACAGCAGCCGGUCCGGCUGCUGAUGUACCCACAGCCUCGCACACCUCCAGCACUGCCCACUGGCAGCUGACCUCUCCAGAAAGUCACAGGCAUCGCAGCGAUGUUCACUUGGUUCAGCGCGGUGCCGUCUUCGAGUACGCCUCCGAGGCGGUCACUACCCUCGAGCAGCAGUACGGCGAUGCCCUACAGCGCCUCAACACAAUGCACCGCCUCUACGAUCGGCUGGACGCACACAACCGCACCCUCGCGUCCGAGUUGAAGCGGGUGCGGCAGGUGAGUGACACCCUGCACAACGGUGUUGCGUUUCACCUGUACAACAGCGUGCGGCAAGUGAAGCACGAAAUGAAGCUGCUGAAGCAGUACGUUGAGCUUCUGAGCUCCAGCUUUAGCAAUCAGCUGCAUGUGCUGCAGCAAGCUGUCGUUGAAGAGCUGCCGCACUUGCUUGGGCGGCACGACCCGUACACGUCGCUGCUGCCGCACGGCGCGGAGGGGCGGCUCCAACCGAUUGAAACGCGAGUAUCGAUCGGCGCACCCAGCGGUAGGGCAUGCUCGCUGGAACGUGUCCCCAAAGCGCCCUCCCCAGUGCUCGGCCGACACGUCACCGGGGCUGGUGGCGACGUGGGCGCGGGCACGCAGUUCUACAGUCAAGAUUACUGGUGGAACGUCAUGUCACCGCAUCCGAUACGGUCGCCGUCCAGUGCACACACUCAGACAGCACCGGCAGAGAUGGAGGCUGGCGGCUGGGCUGGCGUCGUAAAUGGCCGCGAUAGAGGUACCACCGAGAGUGAGCGAGAUCUUUCGCCACCAGGCCAGCUGCCUCUCAGCAUUGAAGACAGCAUAGAGAACAAUCGCUUGAUCCAACCGUCAGGAGAGGCACUGGUGUCGCGCCGCGCCUACCGGGAGGUGCAGGAGGCCCUUGCAGAUGCCCAGCGGCGCGUCGUCGAGCUGGAGCAGACGUUCUCGAAUCAGCAAGCGGACUACGAGAACCGCGUUGCGCAGCUGAAGGCUGCCCAUCGAGCCAAGGUUGCGACGCUGAAGGAGGAACUCGCGCUGCAGCGUCGGCGAGCAGAACUGGCGCAGGAUGGUGAACCGCAGCAAACCGCACUCUCGACGGGGCUGCCGGGCCAAGCAGCCGGUCUCAUGUCGCCUUUGGAUGUCAAUCAGCUGGUGCAGCUGCUUCUUGAGCAUCAGUAUCAGCAGCCCACAGCGAAGCAGCGCCCCGGUGCCCCUUCGAAGACGUCUAGUCCUGCCUCGACGGUGCAGCCAACACGGCAAGCGCGCCACAAAGCCGUCCGAUCGCCUCUGCGAAAGUGGGAGGAUGGUGAUGAGAUUACAGGGCAGAAGGACAGCCAGCACGACAGCGAAGACACGUCCGCCACCACCGACUCCGACCGCGACUGUCGCCGCCGCGCUGCGCACCCGUGUGCCACUGAGUCCGCCUCCGCCUCGAACACAGACGACGGCAACGGUGAUGUACGCCCCUCCUUUGAUCGCAGAAAGCGGCGUGUGCUGCAGGCGAUUGCGAGCAAAGGCAGUGGCCGCCACCGCACAGGCGCUGAUGGUGAUCUUCACAUUCCAGACCGCUACUCGCCGACCGCAGCAGCCCGUCGCGUCGAGCGCGCUCGUGAGGUGCUUGGCUGCGAUGCGCGUGACGGCGAGAGGCGGCAGCAGAGCCAGCGAGCUCAUAGUAGCAGCAGCAGCGGAAACCGCCGCCAAAGAGAGAAGGUGGCGGCAACAGAGGCAGCCGGCGCCACCGCCACCGUGCGGCGCUCGCUCGGGUAUGAGCGGUGGAUGGAUCACUCGCGUGCUGCUUCGAGAAAUGCGGAAGGGUGCGCCUCCCAUACUGGCCGCUCCGCAGCGCGUAUGCGACCUCGCACGGUCAGCGGCGCGGACGCUCCCAGUGUGCCGACGCGCAGCUCCAGCCGCCGUUGGCAAAGCGCCGGUGGCGCUGCCCGAGACGCGCGACAUGACGCGGGAGCCGUCGGCGUGCAAGGCGGCUCACGGUGCGCGGCGCCGGCGCCUAAGCGCGUGCGGCCCGUGCAAAGCCAGCCCGACGCCAAGGUCGAUCGGGUGGCGCAGGGUAUUUGGGCGCAGGAGCUGCUCAAGGAGCGCAGCUGCCUAUAGCCAACUACAAGGACAGAGAUUGGAAACGGUGGAUGCCAUACCAGGCUGUGAUGCGAUGCACGGCAACAGUCCAAGGGUACACAUCGCCCCAUCCCCACCACCACCACCGCCCGCUUCCUCGGCCAUUGGUGUAUCGUUCAUCUGUCGCCCUCCCUCCAUCCCCUCUGCGCACGUGUGUGGGGGAGAGAGGAAUAGAGGAGCAACAGAUGCACGCUGAUGCGGGUAUCACUUGUUUUCCGUUGUCCGCUGUGUUUGUUUGCCUGGUGUUGUUGUCUGCUGAGCGGUUUCCUCGUGCACCACAACUGUCAUGAUAUUACUGUGUACGCGGAAAAAGAGAAACGGCUAAGGGGGGAGAAGGAGCUCAACAGCGAGACAGCGAGACAGCGCGUCCACCUCGCAUGCCGCCCUUCUCUCUCCGUCAGUCCAUUCGCCUACAGAACGCGACACUCGCAACUGCGGCGACUCACGAGGGGAGAGACGCACGUGAGACAAAACGAAAAGCGGGGCGAACUGCUCACACCUCUCGUUCUCUGACCUCCUCAUUCGGCGCACGCGGCUGCAGAUCAACGCACGUGAGCACAAAUGUACGCAUCCGCUGGUGCGGGUGCGAGGUGGCUGCUGCGAUGUGCGGUGGAAGGAGGAACGCUCCGCGGAAGCACGUGCAUCGGGGUCAGCAUUGCUUCGGGCGGAGGAUGAGGAGGACCACGCUCCCUCCCUCCCUCCUCAUUCAACCCCAAACCGCACACUACUCUGCUGGAUAGACAUGUCUUACUCUUUCACCUUUGUUCAUCUGCAUGCUGCACCUACUCCCACCCCGCCUUGCCUACUCGCGCACAG